UACAGAGGGUGCAAGCGUUGUUCGAAAUCAUUGGGCGUAAAGCGCACGUAGGCGGUGCGGCAAGUCUGAUGUGAAAUCCCCCGGCUCAACCGGGGAGGGUCAUUGGAAACUGCCGUGCUCGAGUGCCGGAGAGGGUGAUGGAAUUCCUGGUGUAGAGGUGAAAUUCGUUGAUAUCAGGAGGAACACCUGAGGCGAAAGCGGUCACCUGGAAGGUCACUGACGCUGAGGUGCGAAGGUAUGGGGAGCAAACAGG
RNAcentral lists this ribosomal RNA (253 nucleotides) under uncultured bacterium. RNAcentral's name for it is "partial 16S ribosomal RNA". It matches the Rfam family "Bacterial small subunit ribosomal RNA", at positions 524 to 776 of the family's 1533-position model. The record is from RNAcentral.